Molecule: long non-coding RNA, 671 nt
Filed under: Polistes canadensis
Lineage: Eukaryota; Metazoa; Arthropoda; Insecta; Hymenoptera; Vespidae
Description: uncharacterized LOC106793532, transcript variant X2
Source: RNAcentral
AAAGAGAGAGGGAGAGAGAGAGGUAGAGAAAGGUGCGCGCGCGCGCGCUCAAGCGAGUGGCCGGCCGAGCGAGAACGCACAUAGUACGCCGCGUACGGAUUGGAAUGGAACGCGUCGCGGACCUCGACGACGAAGGAAGUGUUGGGGUAAUAAAGAAAGAGAGAUAUAGCUGAGUGACAGAAAAAUAAGUGAAAGGGAAGGAAGAUUCGUGUUAUGGAAGAGAAACGAGAAACAGGAUCACCACCCGAGUGGAUAACGGACGAAUGGGUGUCGUCCUCCUGCUUAAAAAGGAAGGAUCGUGUCGGGGACACUUGUGAAUUUAGUGUAUUAUCAUAGUACGAAGGACUUUCAUUUGUCCUUCUAUUACAAAACUCGCCUCUGGAGCUUGCGAUAUUGCGAGACACGAGAGCGUGAAAUUAGAGGGAGAAAAAAAAAUGGUUGGAUUUUGUUGGAGGGAUGAUCAUAGGAGAGGACCGACAACAACAACGGGGCAAACAAAACUAGCGUAGCGUUCGAUAGAUUGCGAUUUUUCGAAGAGGAAGAAGAAGAAGAAGACGACGACAAAGAGGGAGGAGGAGGAGGAGGAAGAAGCAAAAGAAGAGGAGGAGGUGGUGGUGUGUUGGAGAAGAGAGGAGAGGAGAGGAAGAAGAAAAACGGGGAGAUUCGUGGUA